Motacilla alba alba is the source of this 1102-nucleotide long non-coding RNA. RefSeq lists it as uncharacterized. The transcript has 3 exons. NCBI's taxonomy places the organism in Eukaryota, Metazoa, Chordata, Aves, Passeriformes, Motacillidae. The record is from RefSeq and is a predicted model, not a curated record.
CUCAUUUACUCUAAGCACGGAAGAUGAACAGAUGUAGAAAACUUUCAAGCUGCACAGAACUAUGACUUCAGAGGUGGUGACAAUUACAUUAGAGCAUUUCUAGGGAAUGUGCAACUUAUUCUCUUGAAUAGGGAGACGAAGGAAAAGUCCUUAAGAAGAGAACAACUUAAAGAAUCUCUCAAGUUCUAAAGAGUCUCCCAGGAUAAGAAAAUGGCAAGGAUUCUGAAUUCUUUCCUUGAUAUUUUGAAGCCUGGAUUGCAUUUGAAAGGUCUCUUCUCCUGUGAUGGAGAACAACAUGCAUAGUAUUAUGAAAAAUAUGUCUAACUCACAGUUUCACGGUGGAGAUAAAAUCAACCUGCUCUUCAGGAAGAGGACAGUCAGUCAGUCUCUAUCUGAAGUCAAGUUAGGAGAAGAUGCCAUGAUUGUAAAAGCUGUUAUGAAUCCUACAUGAUGUGGAUGUGAAAAAGAACAAGUGAGAAAAUGCUGCAUACAACACGCAAAAGCCCCUAAAAAGCAAUAUUGAAGCUGGGAUAUAUGCAAGGAAGUUAGGCACGUCAGUCAAAGAAAACAAAGAAAGAACCUCCAAGUUAAAAGAAAACAAAAUAUGAGGAUGAAGUAAGGCCGUAUCUUCAAAGAGAGAUAUUAAGAGAUGGUAUUAAAGGGAUUGUCUGAUGAUUCAUCCAGGAUUGAAUGAAAAUAUAUUCCACAUAUUUCAAAUGGAGAGAAAUAGUACCAUUUGUGUCCACUCAGCUUGUCGGAUGGCUGCACUACAUACGUGUGCUUGUAAAAGUAUCUAUGUGCGCAAUUAUACUACAGUUUCAUAUACAUCUGAAGUUACAAUAACCAUGAAAAGGUCUUGGUUUCAGGAACCUUUGACUUGUCAAUGAACAGUUUUGCCAUACUAAUGGGAAGAUAAGGAAUUCAAGAGAAUAUAAAAACCUUUUAAAAAUAUUUUUCCGUGUCAUCAUUUAAUGGAAAUGUCUUGACAGGUUUUUGAAGGCCUGACUCCUUAACACCUGAAGAGCAACAGUGUAAACAUGAAGACCAGAUGCUGAGAAGCUAUAUCAUAGAAGUAGCAUUGCACACCUACACAACAACCUUU